GCAGGUGCGAAAGCAGGUCAUAGUGAUCCGGUGGUUCUGAAUGGAAGGGCCAUCGCUCAACGGAUAAAAGGUACUCCGGGGAUAACAGGCUGAUACCGCCCAAGAGUUCAUAUCGACGGCGGUGUUUGGCACCUCGAUGUCGGCUCAUCACAUCCUGGGGCUGAAGUAGGUCCCAAGGGUAUGGCUGUUCGCCAUUUAAAGUGGUACGCGAGCUGGGUUUAGAACGUCGUGAGACAGUUCGGUCCCUAUCUGCCGUGGGCGCUGGAGAACUGAGGGGGGCUGCUCCUAGUACGAGAGGACCGGAGUGGACGCAUCACUGGUGUUCGGGUUGUCAUGCCAAUGGCACUGCCCGGUAGCUAAAUGCGGAAGAGAUAAGUGCUGAAAGCAUCUAAGCACGAAACUUGCCCCGAGAUGAGUUCUCCCUGACUCCUUGAGAGUCCUGAAGGA
Molecule: ribosomal RNA, 447 nt
Filed under: Escherichia coli
Lineage: Bacteria; Pseudomonadati; Pseudomonadota; Gammaproteobacteria; Enterobacterales; Enterobacteriaceae
Description: partial 23S ribosomal RNA
Rfam family: Bacterial large subunit ribosomal RNA
Source: RNAcentral